AUGCUUCAGCAACAUAUAUGCUAAAAUUGGAAAGAUACUGAGAAAGAUAGUAUGGCCCCUGCACAGGGAUGACACACAAUUUCAUGAAGCAUCACACACACAC
Molecule: small nuclear RNA, 103 nt
Organism: Bison bison bison
Lineage: Eukaryota; Metazoa; Chordata; Mammalia; Artiodactyla; Bovidae
Source: Ensembl